RNAcentral lists this ribosomal RNA (259 nucleotides) under uncultured bacterium. RNAcentral's name for it is "partial 16S ribosomal RNA". It matches the Rfam family "Bacterial small subunit ribosomal RNA", at positions 1234 to 1500 of the family's 1533-position model. The record is from RNAcentral.
GGGGUACGAGAAGGCAGCUACACGGCGACGUGAUGCUAAUCCCCAAAACCUCUCUCAGUUCGGAUUGGAGUCUGCAACCCGACUCCAUGAAGCUGGAUUCGCUAGUAAUCGCGCAUCAGCCACGGCGCGGUGAAUACGUUCCCGGGCCUUGUACACACCGCCCGCCAAGCCAUGAAAGCCGGGGGUACCUGAAGUCCGUAACCGUAAGGAGCGGCCUAGGGUAAAACUGGUAAUUGGGGCUAAGUCGUAACAAGGUAGC